UACAGAGGUCUCAAGCGUUGUUCGGAUUCAUUGGGCGUAAAGGGUGCGUAGGUGGCGGGGUAAGUCGGAUGUGAAAUCCCGGGGCUCAACCCCGGAACUGCAUUCGAUACUGCCUUGCUUGAGUACUGGAGAGGAGAUUGGAAUUUACGGUGUAGCAGUGAAAUGCGUAGAUAUCGUAAGGAAGACCAGUGGCGAAGGCGAAUCUCUGGACAGUUACUGACACUGAGGCACGAAGGCCAGGGGAGCAAACGGG
Molecule: ribosomal RNA, 253 nt
Filed under: uncultured bacterium
Lineage: Bacteria
Description: partial 16S ribosomal RNA
Rfam family: Bacterial small subunit ribosomal RNA
Source: RNAcentral